AAAAAGAUAAACCUGGUUUCCUGCCUAACGUUUGACCAUCCGUCUUAUUUAAAAAAUUUAUGAAAAAAUUAAAAAGACAAGUCACGUAUAAAAUAUUAAUCAUAUUUUAUCAUCUAACAACAAUGAAAAUACGAAUUAUAAAAAAAAUUCAUAUAAGACAGACAGUCAAAGUUGGACAUGAAAACUCAGGGUUUGCUUUUUU
Molecule: microRNA precursor, 202 nt
Organism: Oryza rufipogon (brownbeard rice)
Lineage: Eukaryota; Viridiplantae; Streptophyta; Magnoliopsida; Poales; Poaceae
Rfam family: MIR812 microRNA precursor family
Source: Rfam